RNAcentral lists this ribosomal RNA (728 nucleotides) under uncultured Microbacterium sp. RNAcentral describes it as "bacterial SSU rRNA". It matches the Rfam family "Bacterial small subunit ribosomal RNA", at positions 60 to 795 of the family's 1533-position model. The record is from RNAcentral. Lineage: Bacteria; Bacillati; Actinomycetota; Actinomycetes; Micrococcales; Microbacteriaceae.
AGUCGAACGGUGAACACGGAGCUUGCUCUGUGGGAUCAGUGGCGAACGGGUGAGUAACACGUGAGCAACCUGCCCCUGACUCUGGGAUAAGCGCUGGAAACGGCGUCUAAUACUGGAUAUGUGACGUGACCGCAUGGUCUGCGUCUGGAAAGAAUUUCGGUUGGGGAUGGGCUCGCGGCCUAUCAGCUUGUUGGUGAGGUAAUGGCUCACCAAGGCGUCGACGGGUAGCCGGCCUGAGAGGGUGACCGGCCACACUGGGACUGAGACACGGCCCAGACUCCUACGGGAGGCAGCAGUGGGGAAUAUUGCACAAUGGGCGCAAGCCUGAUGCAGCAACGCCGCGUGAGGGAUGACGGCCUUCGGGUUGUAAACCUCUUUUAGCAGGGAAGAAGCGAAAGUGACGGUACCUGCAGAAAAAGCGCCGGCUAACUACGUGCCAGCAGCCGCGGUAAUACGUAGGGCGCAAGCGUUAUCCGGAAUUAUUGGGCGUAAAGAGCUCGUAGGCGGUUUGUCGCGUCUGCUGUGAAAUCCGGAGGCUCAACCUCCGGCCUGCAGUGGGUACGGGCAGACUAGAGUGCGGUAGGGGAGAUUGGAAUUCCUGGUGUAGCGGUGGAAUGCGCAGAUAUCAGGAGGAACACCGAUGGCGAAGGCAGAUCUCUGGGCCGUAACUGACGCUGAGGAGCGAAAGGGUGGGGAGCAAACAGGAUUAGAUACCCUGGUAGAAGGGC